CGCGCAGGCGGUCGUUCAAGUCGCGUGUGAAAGCCCCCGGCUCAACGGGGGAGGGUCACGCGAUACUGAUCGACUCGAAGGCAGGAGAGGGUAGUGGAAUUCCCGGUGUAGUGGUGAAAUGCGUAGAUAUCGGGAGGAACACCAGUGGCGAAGGCGACUACCUGGCCUGUUCUUGACGCUGAGGCGCGAAAGCUAGGGGAGCAAACG
RNAcentral lists this ribosomal RNA (207 nucleotides) under uncultured bacterium. Its description in RNAcentral is "partial 16S ribosomal RNA". It matches the Rfam family "Bacterial small subunit ribosomal RNA", at positions 568 to 774 of the family's 1533-position model. The record is from RNAcentral.